GAUGAACGCUAGCGGCAGGCUUAACACAUGCAAGUCGAGGGGCAGCAUGAGACGGAGAUUCGUCGAAGUCUUGAUGGCGACCGGCGCAAGGGUGCGUAACGCGUGAGCAACUUGCCCGUUUCUGGGGGAAUAACCGGUGGAAACGCCGACUAAUACCCCAUAGUAUCAGAUUGAGGCAUCUUUAUCUGAUUAAAGAACUUCGGAAACGGAUAGGCUCGCGUGACAUUAGCUAGAUGGCGGGGUAACGGCCCACCAUGGCAACGAUGUCUAGGGGUUCUGAGAGGAAGGUCCCCCACACUGGAACUGAGACACGGUCCAGACUCCUACGGGAGGCAGCAGUGAGGAAUAUUGGUCAAUGGUCGGAAGACUGAACCAGCCAAGUAGCGUGAAGGAUGAAGGUUCUAUGGAUUGUAAACUUCUUUUAUACGGGAAUAAAACCUCUACGUGUAGGAGCUUGUAUGUACCGUAUGAAUAAGCAUCGGCUAACUCCGUGCCAG
This 497-nucleotide ribosomal RNA is filed under the name uncultured bacterium. RNAcentral's name for it is "bacterial SSU rRNA". It matches the Rfam family "Bacterial small subunit ribosomal RNA", at positions 28 to 511 of the family's 1533-position model. The record is from RNAcentral.